AACGAACGCUGGCGGCAUGCCUAACACAUGCAAGUCGAACGAGACCUUCGGGUCUAGUGGCGCACGGGUGCGUAACGCGUGGGAAUCUGCCCUUGGGUUCGGAAUAACAGUUAGAAAUGACUGCUAAUACCGGAUGAUGACUUCGGUCCAAAGAUUUAUCGCCCAGGGAUGAGCCCGCGUAGGAUUAGCUUGUUGGUGAGGUAAAAGCUCACCAAGGCGACGAUCCUUAGCUGGUCUGAGAGGAUGAUCAGCCACACUGGGACUGAGACACGGCCCAGACUCCUACGGGAGGCAGCAGUGGGGAAUAUUGGACAAUGGGCGAAAGCCUGAUCCAGCAAUGCCGCGUGAGUGAUGAAGGCCUUAGGGUUGUAAAGCUCUUUUACCCGGGAUGAUAAUGACAGUACC
This 405-nucleotide ribosomal RNA is filed under the name uncultured bacterium. Its description in RNAcentral is "bacterial SSU rRNA". It matches the Rfam family "Bacterial small subunit ribosomal RNA", at positions 29 to 479 of the family's 1533-position model. The record is from RNAcentral.